This is an RNA transcript of Pyrgilauda ruficollis (rufous-necked snowfinch), 2355 nucleotides long. It is a transcript of the gene named translation initiation factor IF-2-like, with no coding region annotated. NCBI's taxonomy places the organism in Eukaryota, Metazoa, Chordata, Aves, Passeriformes, Passeridae. The record is from RefSeq and is a predicted model, not a curated record. The transcript has 3 exons.
UGCGGGAAGGGAUGGGGAGCCCGAGCACGGCGAAUCGGGAGCCCCGACUCCCAACCCCGCCCCACAGCAUAAACACGGGGAUCCCCAGCCCAGUGGGAAUGGGGGCCGUGGGAAUGGGGGAUCCCGAGUGGGAGAGGAGCGCCUCGGGGCCGGGAGCGGCGUCCCCCGCCCGCAGGAACCCGCGGCUGAAAAAGCGAAGGAGCGCGAUGAGGAGCCGUGGCACCAUCUCGGCACCAUCCCGGCACCAUCCCGGUCCCGCGCACCCCCGCACCGCCCGCGGGCUGCGGGCACGCCCCCGCAGCGACACGCCCCGUCACGAUACGUGCGAUCGCGACACGCCCCGCACCUGCUCUGCGGGGCAGUGGCUCCGCGCGGCUCUAAGAAACCAGGAUGGGUGGGGGGUGGGGGGUGGCCAAGGGAUCGGACAUCACUCUCCAACGUUGGGGGGGGUCCUCGGUGUGGGGCGGGGGCCGAAAGGGUGGUGCCGAUGUGGGAAUUGGGUGGGGAUGUCACUCCUCGGUAUUGGGAGGGGGUCAGGAGUGGGAGUCCCAGUGUGGGGUGGUGAAGGGGGAAGGAAACCGGAGUGGGGCGGGGGCGCCCAUGUGGGGAGAGGAUCAGGGCAUCGCUGCCCAGUUUGGGUAGCUCCGCUCCGCAGCGCGGGGCUGGCAGUGCUUUCCUUGUGCGGCACCAGGUGCCGGGUGUGCCAUCACGGGUCUGGCAUCUGGGAGGGCAACGAUCUCCCUCCGGGUUAAACCCUCCCCUCUUGGGGAUCGGGCCAGGAGUUUCCCCCUUGCCCCUUCUCUCUUCUGCGGCAUGUUUCACCUCUCAACAAAGCGACCCCUGCCCCCUUAAAGGUUGCGCCUCACGUUUGGGUUGGGGAGGCCUUCCCCUCAUCCUCCCUGAUGGAGGGGCCGAAAUCUCAUCCCAUCCCUUGCCCUGGGGUAACUCUGAUGCAGGGCUCGGUAGAGAAAGUCUUCCCUGCCCCCCAUCCUAUAGGAUACUGAAGGGGUUCCUACCCAGCAUCCUUCUCUUGGAUAGGGAGGGACCCUCAUCUUGGGCCCCCUUAUAGGGUCUGUUCGCCCCCACCCUCCUAUAUUAACCCCCCCAUUGCCUUCAGUGAGGAGUGACACCUCCUCCCGUCCCUCGCCCCGAGAUAAGUACAAGGAUUUCGGGAUGCUGCCCCUACCCCGAUGGCCCCAGGGAAUCUGCACGGAGGGUCGGCAUGCUCAGGCCGUCACACGAUGGCCACCUGCCACACGGUGAGAGCGAUAUCGGCAGCGCGACAAUCUCCAUCCCUCCCCCACCUCCUCCUCCUCUGGGCAGAAGAGAAAGUUCUGGUCUGAGGGCGGAUGGCCUUCUCUGCCUCCGUAUCCCUGUCCCCAGGCCCUCCCGUGUCCCUGCAUCCCUGUAUCCUUGUCCCUCCAUGUUCCCGUGUCCCUGCAGUCCUGUGUCCCACUCCCUACCCAGGCACUACUGUGCUCCUGCACCUCUGUGUCCCUGUCCUCAGGGUGCUCUUCAGGGACAGGGUGCUCUGAGGCUUGGCUGGGCGUUUGUAAAGGGCUCCUCGCAUCGUCUCUCAACCCUCGUUAGGACAGGUCGUGAUAAGGAAAUGCCACCCCGAGGUGCCAAGCAGGGUAGGGUUUAGGGACAUUCUGCAUGCUACACGCUCCAUCCGGCUCCCGGCACGCCGACCCCCGGGAUGCCGGGCCCGGGAGCCCACAGGAGGUUCGGGGCGGCCGCCGGAGCCGCGGGGCCAUCUAGUGGCCAGGGCCGCUCCCGGACACCCUGCGCGGCCACCCCGGCCUCCGGGUGCUCCUGCCCCUGCGGGUGACACACAGCCACGGGCGUCUCUCCCCGGGGUGGCACAGGAUCAUGAAUACCUCAGGCAGCGUCUCACAGUGCCCCUUUUUCCGACCAGGACACUACCAGAGCCGCCAGACCCCCAGGAUCAGGGUGUGGAACUCCUGCUCUGGGUUCACCCUGCUGCAGGUCCCAAGUGUCACCCCAGCCUGGACAGGUCCCACUGGCACGGAUGCAGGUCCGGGGAUCCAUGAAUAAAGCAGGAGUGGCAUUCCUUGGAUGAGAACAUCACAGCAGUCAGAUGGACACACACAGCCUCAGAACCCAGCCCUGGAGCUGCUGGGGAAUAACUGUAGGUGCCAAGGAGAGGCAGCAGUGUGGGCUUCCCACAUUUCCAUCCGUCCUGUAGUUUUCCCUUGUUCCUGGCCUGGAGUGGAUCAAUCGAGUGCUGUGCCUCCUGUCUCUUCCUGGGAACCUGGGGAGCAGCCACGCUGCAUCCCAUCUGGAGGGUGUCUGAUGGCAUCAAUGGGAAUAAAGUUCAUGCAGGCAAGUAAA